RNAcentral lists this ribosomal RNA (580 nucleotides) under uncultured Gammaproteobacteria bacterium. RNAcentral describes it as "bacterial SSU rRNA". It matches the Rfam family "Bacterial small subunit ribosomal RNA", at positions 790 to 1368 of the family's 1533-position model. Lineage: Bacteria; Pseudomonadati; Pseudomonadota; Gammaproteobacteria. The record is from RNAcentral.
GUAGUCCACGCUGUAAACGAUGAAAACUAGAUGUUGGUAGGCUAAGACCUAUUAGUAUCGAAGCUAACGCGAUAAGUUUUCCGCCUGGGGAGUACGGUCGCAAGAUUAAAACUCAAAGAAAUUGACGGGGGCCCGCACAAGCGGUGGAGCAUGUGGUUUAAUUCGACGCAACGCGAAGAACCUUACCUACCCUUGACAUCCAGAGAAUUCUGCAGAGAUGUGGAAGUGCCGAAAGGAACUCUGAGACAGGUGCUGCAUGGCUGUCGUCAGCUCGUGUUGUGAGAUGUUGGGUUAAGUCCCGUAACGAGCGCAACCCUUAUCCUUAGUUGCCAACAUGUAAUGGUGGGGACUCUAAGGAGACUGCUGGUGAUGAACCGGAGGAAGGCGGGGACGACGUCAAGUCAUCAUGGCCUUUAUGGGUAGGGCUACGGACGUGCUACAAUGGCGCGUACAGAGGGUUGCCAACCUGCGAAGGGGAGCCAAUCUCGAAAAACGCGUCGUAGUCCGGAUCGGAGUCUGCAACUCGACUCCGUGAAGUCGGAAUCGCUAGUAAUCGCGAAUCAGAACGUCGCGGUGAAUA